ACACUGGUGGCUCCAUGGUAGAAUUCUUGCCUGCCAUGGUAGAGACCCAGGUUUGAUUCCUGGCCAAUGUA
Molecule: transfer RNA, 71 nt
Filed under: Loxodonta africana (African savanna elephant)
Lineage: Eukaryota; Metazoa; Chordata; Mammalia; Proboscidea; Elephantidae
Rfam family: tRNA
About the family: Transfer RNA (tRNA) molecules are approximately 80 nucleotides in length. Their secondary structure includes four short double-helical elements and three loops (D, anti-codon, and T loops).
Source: Rfam by way of RNAcentral